Molecule: non-coding RNA, 788 nt
Organism: Paramisgurnus dabryanus
Lineage: Eukaryota; Metazoa; Chordata; Actinopteri; Cypriniformes; Cobitidae
Source: RefSeq, a predicted model, not a curated record
ACAUGUUUUUUUUAUUUGUCUAUAUCCUAGAUUCGCAGCUGGACACAUCCUUCUACACUGUAUGCAAACAUGCAACAUCAUUACACACAGUACAAGGAGUCAGACUGGCAUAUGAGGAGCAAAGGUGUGUAACACAUAUGAUGUAUUUAGCUAGUGAAACCACUACCAGUCUUAGAUGUAUAACUGAUGAUGAUAAAGUUUUUUUUCUCUGCAUAAUAAUAGGAACCCAGGCAGUAGCGUCGUUUCACAAUGUUUCCAUCAUCAUCAUCAGUGGAUGCCUUUGCCGUCCGUAGCCUGAGAUUUCAGAUUUGCAGCAAAAAAUUUUUGAUUUUCUCAUUUAUUGGAAUGCUGUGCAGGUAUUUGUACCUUGCAGCCAUCCAUUACAAUGUCACCAAGCCGUAACAAAAGCAGGAGAGGGAAAGUACAAGGCUAUGUUCCCAAAACACACAAGUGACAUACCUUAUGUGGAUGAUGUGAUCAGGCUUGUGUUUGAUGAGGUAUUUGAAGAUAAGCUGAAGGAAACCCCGAUUCCAAUGGACCUGGCAUCACAGUUUGAGAGACCUUCAAAGGAGGACGUGAUUGCAUGCCAUCUUCAGUGCAGGGGUCGUCGAAAGCCAAAAUUGUGACCGAUCUGAUCAGGAAGCUCCAAGCGUAUCUGGAGAACAACACACGACAGGAUGAUAACCUUAUAGUGUCGUCUUAAAUAGCACCAGCUGACAAAGCUUUGAUAUGCCAUUUAUCUGAAUAGAUAGCUGUAAGAAAUGAAUUGAACAAUUUUUGAAACAAGA